RNAcentral lists this ribosomal RNA (530 nucleotides) under uncultured bacterium. RNAcentral's name for it is "bacterial SSU rRNA". It matches the Rfam family "Bacterial small subunit ribosomal RNA", at positions 978 to 1509 of the family's 1533-position model. The record is from RNAcentral.
CUCUUGACAUCCAGAGAACUUGGCAGAGAUGCCUUGGUGCCUUCGGGAACUCUGAGACAGGUGCCGCAUGGCUGUCGUCAGCUCGUGUUGUGAAAUGUUGGGUUAAGUCCGCAACGAGCGCAACCCCUAUCCUUUGUUGCCAGCGAUUCGGUCGGGAACUCAAAGGAGACUGCCGGUGAUAAACCGGAGGAAGGUGGGGAUGACGUCAAGUCAUCAUGGCCCUUACGAGUAGGGCUACACACGUGCUACAAUGGCGCAUACAAAGAGAAGCGACCUCGCGAGAGCAAGCGGACCUCAUAAAGUGCGUCGUAGUCCGGAUCGGAGUCUGCAACUCGACUCCGUGAAGUCGGAAUCGCUAGUAAUCGUAGAUCAGAAUGCUACGGUGAAUACGUUCCCGGGCCUUGUACACACCGCCCGUCACACCAUGGGAGUGGGUUGCAAAAGAAGUAGAUAGCUUAACCUUCGGGAGGGCGUUUACCACUUUGUGAUUCAUGACUGGGGUGAAGUCGUAACAAGGUAAGCGUACGUGU